GGGUUGUGAGGUUAAGCGACCAAGCGUACACGGUGGAUGCCCUGGCAGUCAGAGGCGAUGAAGGACGUGCUAAUCUGCGAAAAGCGCCGGUAAGGUGAUAUGAACCGUUAUAACCGGCGAUGUCCGAAUGGGGAAACCCAGUGUGACUCGUCACACUAUCAUUAACUGAAUCCAUAGGUUAAUGAGGCGAACCGGGGGAACUGAAACAUCUAAGUACCCCGAGGAAAAGAAAUCAACCGAGAUUCCCCCAGUAGCGGCGAGCGAACGGGGAGGAGCCCAGAGCCUGAAUCAGUAUGUGUGUUAGUGGAAGCGUCUGGAAAGGCGCGCGAUACAGGGUGACAGCCCCGUACACAAAAGCGCAUGUGCUGUGAGCUCGAUGAGUAGGGCGGGACACGUGGUAUCCUGUCUGAAUAUGGGGGGACCAUCCUCCAAGGCUAAAUACUCCUGACUGACCGAUAGUGAACCAGUACCGUGAGGGAAAGGCGAAAAGAACCCCGGCGAGGGGAGUGAAAAAGAACCUGAAACCGUGUACGUACAAGCAGUGGGAGCCCCACCACUAAGCCAGUGGUGAACUCCACAUACGCAUCCUUUGCGGAAGAUACGAUUAACGGAGCGAAAGCGACGUUCAACCGCAAAAGAAGCAGAGGGGGCUUAGUGGUGGGGUGACUGCGUACCUUUUGUAUAAUGGGUCAGCGACUUAUAUUCUGUAGCAAGGUUAACCGUAUAGGGGAGCCGGAGGGAAACCGAGUCUUAACCGGGCGUUAAGUUGCAGGGUAUAGACCCGAAACCCGGUGAUCUAGCCAUGGGCAGGUUGAAGGUUGGGUAACACUAACUGGAGGACCGAACCGACUAAUGUUGAAAAAUUAGCGGAUGACCUGUGGCUGGGGGUGAAAGGCCAAUCAAACCGGGAGAUAGCUGGUUCUCCCCGAAAGCUAUUUAGGUAGCGCCUCGUGAACUCAUCUCCGGGGGUAGAGCACUGUUUCGGCCAGGGGGCCAUCCCGGCUUACCAACCCGAUGCAAACUGCGAAUACCGGAGAAUGUUAUCACGGGAGACACACGGCGGGUGCUAACGUCCGUCGUGAAGAGGGAAACAACCCAGACCGCCAGCUAAGGUCCCAAAGUCAUGGUUAAGUGGGAAACGAUGUGGGAAGGCCCAGACAGCCAGGAUGUUGGCUUAGAAGCAGCCAUCAUUUAAAGAAAGCGUAAUAGCUCACUGGUCGAGUCGGCCUGCGCGGAAGAUGUAACGGGGCUAAACCAUGCACCGAAGCUGCGGCAGCGAACGUAUCACUUAAAGCGAUUCAGCGGAUGACGAUUGACGGAGCGAAGCGACGUCAAAGCGUUUUACAACGUCGAGUCGGUUUAAGGAUACGUUCGUUGGGUAGGGGAGCGUUCUGUAAGCCUGCGAAGGUGGCCUGUGAGGGUUGCUGGAGGUAUCAGAAGUGCGAAUGCUGACAUAAGUAACGAUAAUGCGGGUGAAAAACCCGCACGCCGGAAGACCAAGGGUUCCUGUCCAACGUUAAUCGGGGCAGGGUGAGUCGACCCCUAAGGCGAGGCCGAA
This 1558-nucleotide ribosomal RNA is filed under the name Salmonella enterica. RNAcentral's name for it is "partial 23S ribosomal RNA". It matches the Rfam family "Bacterial large subunit ribosomal RNA", at positions 1 to 1406 of the family's 2925-position model. The record is from RNAcentral. Lineage: Bacteria; Pseudomonadati; Pseudomonadota; Gammaproteobacteria; Enterobacterales; Enterobacteriaceae.